CCUACGGGUGGCAGCAGUGAGGAAUAUUGGUCAAUGGGCGAAAGCCUGAACCAGCCAAGUCGCGUGAGGGAUGAAGGUUCUAUGGAUCGUAAACCUCUUUUAUAAGGGAAUAAAGUGUGGGACGUGUCCUAUUUUGUAUGUACCUUAUGAAUAAGAAUCGGCUAACUCCGUGCCAGCAGCCGCGGUAAUACGGAGGAUCCGAGCGUUAUCCGGAUUUAUUGGGUUUAAAGGGUGCGGAGGCGGCCUUUUAAGUCAGCGGUGAAAGUGGGUGGGUCAACCAUCGAAUUGCCGUUGAAACUGGGGGGCUUGAGUGUGUUAGAGGCAUGCGGAAUGCGUGGUGUAGCGGUGAAAUGCUUAGAUAUCACGCAGAACCCCGAUUGCGAAGGCAGCCUGCCAAGCCAUGACUGACGCUGAUGCACGAAAGCGUGGGGAUCAAACAGGAUUAGAUACCCCAGUAGUC
RNAcentral lists this ribosomal RNA (460 nucleotides) under uncultured bacterium. Its description in RNAcentral is "partial 16S ribosomal RNA". It matches the Rfam family "Bacterial small subunit ribosomal RNA", at positions 338 to 795 of the family's 1533-position model. The record is from RNAcentral.